CACUCCUGCGGGAGGCAGCAGUGGGGAAUUUUGGACAAUGGGCGAAAGCCUGAUCCAGCAAUGCCGCGUGUGUGAAGAAGGCCUUCGGGUUGUAAAGCACUUUUGUCCGGAAAGAAAUCCUUGGCUCUAAUACAGUCGGGGGAUGACGGUACCGGAAGAAUAAGCACCGGCUAACUACGUGCCAGCAGCCGCGGUAAUACGUAGGGUGCGAGCGUUAAUCGGAAUUACUGGGCGUAAAGCGUGCGCAGGCGGUUUGCUAAGACCGAUGUGAAAUCCCCGGGCUCAACCUGGGAACUGCAUUGGUGACUGGCAGGCUAGAGUAUGGCAGAGGGGGGUAGAAUUCCACGUGUAGCAGUGAAAUGCGUAGAGAUGUGGAGGAAUACCGAUGGCGAAGGCAGCCCCCUGGGCCAAUACUGACGCUCAUGCACGAAAGCGUGGGGAGCAAACAGGAUUAGAAACCCUUGUAGUCCCAUGA
RNAcentral lists this ribosomal RNA (475 nucleotides) under uncultured organism. Its description in RNAcentral is "partial 16S ribosomal RNA". It matches the Rfam family "Bacterial small subunit ribosomal RNA", at positions 334 to 800 of the family's 1533-position model. The record is from RNAcentral.